RNAcentral lists this transfer RNA (64 nucleotides) under Pselaphinae sp. 10 EF-2015. Its description in RNAcentral is "tRNA-Asn". Lineage: Eukaryota; Metazoa; Arthropoda; Insecta; Coleoptera; Staphylinidae. The record is from RNAcentral.
UUAAUUGAAACCAAAAAGAGGUAUUUCAUUGUUAAUGAAAUUAUUGAAUUUAAUUCCAAUUAAA